This is a long non-coding RNA of Neofelis nebulosa (Clouded leopard), 2673 nucleotides long. RefSeq lists it as uncharacterized. The transcript is spliced from 12 exons. Lineage: Eukaryota; Metazoa; Chordata; Mammalia; Carnivora; Felidae. The record is from RefSeq and is a predicted model, not a curated record.
GGAGGGCGAGCUGGGGGCGGGGCCAGCGCGUGGCGUCAGCGCGCAGCACGUACCCUCCCGCUCUGGAGCCCAGGGCUCGGGGGUGACUUGCAGGUCCACUUCCGCGAGGUUUUGGGGAAGUGCAGUUCUGCUCGCUUACACAAUUUUCCCCACCCAUCAUUGUAAACGUAGUUUCCCGUCGUCGAGCCACAGACUUGUCUUCAAAUUUCUACUUUUUAAAAAACCUCCUUGGUGUGAUCUCUCCGGGACAGGAGUUUGGGAGGCAGUUCCGGAGGACUCCCGGUUUUCAUUGGUUCCUGAUGUUGUCGUUAAUAGGACUCUGUGGUCUCUGAUUGGCUCCUUAAAGCGAGGCUGCGAAUUUCCUCCGCUGAUCGGCUCACGCUCCGCUCGGCGGGCCACGCGCGUUCCGACCCCUGAUUAUCCCGUUUCACCUAAUCGGAGGUUUACCCUCCGGAGUGGUGGUGACCCGCACGGUUUCGCGUUACGAGCAUACAGCCUUGCUGGCCUCUAUCCCUGGUGGUCUCACAGCUAUCAUCAGCCUUGACCCCCUCGCUGCCCGUCCCCCUCCAUGGGUCUUUUCUUGAAACACUGGCAAGUCACCUGUAGAUUGCUGUGUACGUGGUAAUUCCACUCUCGCUGUGGGUGCUCCCAAAGGGAGUACGACCGAGGUCUCUGGCCCAAGAAAGUUAAUCAAGACCUGGCAGCCCUCCUACACAGUGUUUCAUUGGACAUGCCUUUUAAAGCUGGAGAACUACAUGAAAACCCCGAAGGACUGGAACUCACUACUCCCAGAUCAAGAGUCACACGCUCCAUGGACUGAGCCAGCCAGGCGCCCCCCAGUGGCUACUCUUAACAAAAAACCAUUAACCCACCAACUACAGAAGACAGUCUCAAAUGAUCAUCAUUGAAGAGAGAAGCCAUAUGGAGAGGCCCAAAGAAAGAGAACCCAGGCACCUCAGCUGAAUGCAGGGAGGUGGUGGAACCACCACCAUGUGGGGCAGAAGAACCGCCCAGUCAAAACCCAAAGAUUGUUCGAAAGAGCAAUUCCUCCAGCUGUGGUAUGGAGAGAGGAAGUGUGGGGAGCCAAGGAUCUAAGCCCCUUUGAGUAUUCAGACACCGACCAACUAAAGCCAGAGAAUUGACAAUAUUGACCGUUGCUGGCCUUCAUGACUUUGACCUGAACUCUGUCCCCUUAAAAUGACUUUUUCCCCAAUUCCAUGCUGGAUUCCCCAUUGGGCAAGCUGAUUCAUGAACAGCACCUGGAACUGUGUCCAGUGCAUAGUGGUGGGUUUUCUAUCCGUAUUUGUUGGCUGAACAAAUGAAUAGCAUGGAAUCGCCAGAAGGGGAUGGACCAGGGUACUUUGACACCUUGUCAGACUGUUUGCAUUUGGAAUACAAAACAGUCAGGUAUGUUUCCAAGGAAGAGGGUGGGGGACACAUCCACAGGCAUGGCUGGGUCCCCAGAUUGGAGCUGGAGCAGAGAAGGGGCCUGGAUGACAUGCCUGCGAGAGACCACCCAUCUCAGGGCCCCUGGAUGUGGUUCCUCAAGCAAAGAUUCCUUGGGCGUCAUGGACCAUCUGCCUCCUCCUAUGGAUGUCUUCAGCAUGAUCUCUCUCCCUCUCCCGCAGCAAGAGGGCUUGAUCAAGAAGGCUGGACUACAUCUGCUUUGAGGAUCAAGCAGGAGACAGAGAUAAGCUGCCACUUCCCCAAAUACAGAGUUGUACACUUUACGUCUUGAGAAUCAGACCUCCCACUGGCGGGAGCGCUUGCCCUUAACUGAUACAUCAAGGAAUCAAACCAGGUUAUUUUUGUUCAUGAGAUGGUGAAAUACACUGAAAGUAGUGAGGGGGGGAAAGGCGUGAGAGAGAAAACGCCCGCUGCUUCCACUGGGAUCCUUGCUGGCUGUUCCUGAGUUUUCCAUGGAAAGCACUUAGAUACUCAGAACAAAGGAUACUUGCUGGUGCGUGGGGCAUGUUGAAAUGCCGGGGAAAUUAACCCCUGGGAGCAGCACUCAACCGAUGAUGCAUAGAAGCUGGCGGGUAGAAGUUCAGCUCUCUCACCCCUUGGGAGGAGUAACUCUAAGUGGGAUUUUGAAAUUGAAGAUGGGAUUAUUUUCACCUGUGGAUCAACUUGGUGUAGAACAAAGAUGGCACGUACAGAAGCAGGAAUCCAGAGGCUGAGGUGAGCAUCCAUUCAUUUAUUCAUCCAUCUGUCCAUCUAUCCAUCCAUCCAUCUAUCCAUCCAUCAUCAUCCAUCAUCCAUCAUCCAUCCAUCCGUCUAUCCAUCAUCCAUCAUUCACCACCCCUCCCUCCAUCCAUCAGCCAUCCAUUCACAAUCAUACAUCACUCACCCAUCCAUCUAUCAUCCACCAUCCAUCAUUCAUCAUCCAUCCAUCCAUCAUCCAUCCAUCCUCCAUCACCCAUCCACCCAUCAUCCAUCCAUCCUCCAUCCAUCCUCCAUCUGUCUGUCUAUCCACCCACCCACCCAUUCACUAAUUCAUUUAUUCAAAUACUCAUUGAGCAUCUACCAUGUACUUGGCUCUGCUCUGGGUACUGGGGAUACUAUAAUGAAUAACAGACAGAUACCCCUUUCCCAGGAGCAGCCAAUAAGUAUGAAAAUCAGACCAUAGUAAAGCAACUGAAUAGAUUACCAAGAUAAUUUCAGACUGUGAUA